AGAAUCAACACUGGCGGCGUGCCUAACACAUGCAAGUCGAACGAGAAAGUGGAGCAAUCCAUGAGUAAAGUGGCGCACGGGUGAGUAACACGUGACUAACCUACCUUUUAGUGGGGGAUAACCUAGGGAAACCUGGGCUAAUACCGCAUAACACUUACGAGCCAAAGCAGCAAUGCGCUGAAAGAGGGGGUCGCGGCCGAUUAGCUAGUUGGCGGGUAAUGGCCCACCAAGGCAGUGAUCGGUA
Molecule: ribosomal RNA, 244 nt
Filed under: uncultured bacterium
Lineage: Bacteria
Description: partial small subunit ribosomal RNA
Rfam family: Bacterial small subunit ribosomal RNA
Source: RNAcentral